Molecule: ribosomal RNA, 502 nt
Filed under: uncultured bacterium
Lineage: Bacteria
Description: bacterial SSU rRNA
Rfam family: Bacterial small subunit ribosomal RNA
Source: RNAcentral
UACGCAUCUAAGGGAAACCGAUAAGUAAUCCACCUGGGGAGUACGUUCGCAAGAAUGAACUCAAAGGAAUUGACGGGGGCCCGCACAAGCGGAGGAGCAUGUGGUUUAAUUCGAUGAUACGCGAGGAACCUUACCUAGGCUUAAAUGACAGUUGACGGUUGCGGAAACGUAACUUCUCCACAAGAGCAACUGUUAAGGUGCUGCAUGGCUGUCGUCAGCUCGUGCCGUGAGGUGUUUGGUUAAGUCCAGCAACGAGCGCAACCCCUAUUCUUAGUUGCCAUCAGGUAAAGCUGGGGACUCUAAGAAAACUGCCCGCGCAAGCGGUGAGGAAGGUGGGGAUGACGUCAAGUCAGCACGGCCCUUACGUCUAGGGCUACACACGUGCUACAAUGGCCGGUACAGUGGGCAGCUACAUGGUGACAUGAUGCUAAUCUCCAAAACCGGUCUCAGUUCGGAUCGAAGUCUGCAACUCGACUUCGUGAAGUUGGAUUCGCUAGUAAUC